GAUGAAGAACGUAGCGAAAUGCGAUAAGUAAUGUGAAUUGCAGAAUUCAGUGAAUCAUCGAAUCUUUGAACGCACAUUGCGCCCGCCAGCAUUCUGGCGGGCAUGCCUGUCCGAGCGUCAUUUCAACCCUCAGGGUCCCUCCGCCUCGCGCGGUCGGAGCCUGGUGUUGGGGAUCGGCCCGCCCCGCGCGGCGCCGUCCCCCAAAUACAGUGGCGGUCCCGCCGCAGCCUCCCCUGCGCAGUAGUUAUCAACUCGCACUGGAGCGCGGCGCGGCCACGCCGUAAAACCCCCGACUUCUGAACGUUUGACCUCGGAUCAGGUAGGAAUACCCGCUGAACUUAAGCAUAUCAAUAAGCGGAGGA
This 362-nucleotide unclassified non-coding RNA is filed under the name soil metagenome. Its description in RNAcentral is "partial contains 5.8S ribosomal RNA, internal transcribed spacer 2, and large subunit ribosomal RNA". The stretch from base 1 to 120 matches the Rfam family "5.8S ribosomal RNA", at positions 35 to 154 of the family's 154-position model. The record is from RNAcentral.